UUUAAACCCAAAACUGAACUUUUUCCAUUCAGCCAGCAUUAGGGUUUUAAACCCUAAACUGAGCUUUUCCAUGCAGUCAGCAUUAGGGUUUUAAACCCUAAACUGAAUUUUUCCUUUAGUCAGCAUUAGGGUUUUAAACCCUAAACUGAACUUUUUCCCAUUCAGCCAGCAUUAGGGUUUUAAACCCUAAACUGAGCUUUUCCAUGCAAUCAGCAUUAGGGUUUUAAACCCUGAACUGAGCUUUUCCAUUUAAUCAGCAUUAGGGUUUUAAACCCUAAACUGAACUCUUUUCCUUUCAGCCAGCAUUAGGGUUUUAAACCCUAAACUGAGCUUUUCCAUGCAAUCAGCAUUAGGGUUUUAAACCCUAAACUGAAUUUUUCCUUUAGUCAGCAUUAGGGUUUUAAACCCUAAACUGAACUUUUUUCCCAUUCAGCCAGCAUUAGGGUUUUAAACCCUGAACUGAGCUUUUCCAUUUAAUCAGCAUUAGGGUUUUAAACCCUAAACUGAACUCUUUUCCUUUCA
RNAcentral lists this long non-coding RNA (522 nucleotides) under Nicotiana tabacum (common tobacco). RNAcentral's name for it is "long non-coding RNA (NTAB_LNC013528)". The record is from RNAcentral. Lineage: Eukaryota; Viridiplantae; Streptophyta; Magnoliopsida; Solanales; Solanaceae.